UACGGAGGGUGCGAGCGUUAAUCGGAAUCACUGGGCGUAAAGCGCGCGUAGGCUGUUUUUUAAGUCAGGGGUGAAAUCCCACCGCUCAACGGUGGAACUGCCUUUGAAACUGGGAGACUUGAGUACGGGAGAGGGUGGCGGAAUUCCAGGUGUAGGGGUGAAAUCCGUAGAUAUCUGGAGGAACACCGGUGGCGAAGGCGGCCACCUGGCCCGUAACUGACGCUGAGGUGCGAAAGCGUGGGUAGCAAAC
Molecule: ribosomal RNA, 250 nt
Filed under: uncultured bacterium
Lineage: Bacteria
Description: partial 16S ribosomal RNA
Rfam family: Bacterial small subunit ribosomal RNA
Source: RNAcentral